RNAcentral lists this ribosomal RNA (254 nucleotides) under uncultured bacterium. RNAcentral's name for it is "partial 16S ribosomal RNA". It matches the Rfam family "Bacterial small subunit ribosomal RNA", at positions 524 to 776 of the family's 1533-position model. The record is from RNAcentral.
UACGAAGGGGGGCUAGCGUUGCUCGGAAUUACUGGGCGUAAAGGGCGCGUAGGCGGAUAGUUUAGUCAGAGGUAAAAGCCCAGGGCUCAACCUUGGAACUGCCUUUGAUACUGGCUAUCUUGAGUACGGGAGAGGUGUGUGGAACUCCGAGUGUAGAGGUGAAAUUCGUAGAUAUUCGCAAGAACACCAGUGGCGAAGGCGGCUCACUGGCCCGGUACUGACGCUGAGGUGCGAAAGCGUGGGGAGCAAACAGG